AACUGAAACAUAAGAACCUGAAUACGGCUGAUCUCGGAAGCUAAGCAGGAUCCGGCCUGGUUAGUACUUGGAUGGGAGACCGCUUGGGAAUACCAGGUGCUGUAGGUU
This 108-nucleotide ribosomal RNA is filed under the name Scleropages formosus (Asian bonytongue). The record is from RNAcentral. Lineage: Eukaryota; Metazoa; Chordata; Actinopteri; Osteoglossiformes; Osteoglossidae.